RNAcentral lists this ribosomal RNA (244 nucleotides) under uncultured bacterium. Its description in RNAcentral is "partial 16S ribosomal RNA". It matches the Rfam family "Bacterial small subunit ribosomal RNA", at positions 528 to 771 of the family's 1533-position model. The record is from RNAcentral.
UAUGGAGCAAGCGUUAUCCGGAAUUACUGGGUGUAAAGGGAGCGCAGGCGGUUUAGCAAGUCUGAUGUGAAAUCCCGGGGCCCAACCCCGGACCUGCAUUGGAAACUGUUAAACUAGAGUGCCGGAGAGGUAAGUGGAAUUCCUAGUGUAGCGGUGAAAUGCGUAGAUAUUAGGAGGAACACCAGUGGCGAAGGCGGCUUACUGGACGGUAACUGACGCUGAGGCUCGAAAGCGUGGGGAGCAA